UGAGGAUCGAAGAUAUUGUUUACAGGACAAUAGUACUGGAAACUGGAGACAGACAACUGGGAACACACAACUGCAAAACCCAUCAUUAAAUGUUCAAUUUAUGCAUCAGAUCUAGGCCUUAAAACAGUGAAUAUUUAUCGUGAUUUACUAUACCCUGAUUUUAACAAAGCAGGAAGCUAUUAAAACCAAUUCAAAAUGAGGAGUUCAGUUCUUAACGUGUUAAGACUACUGAUGUUUACAGAUCACUCAAGUUCGAUAUAACCACAUCACAAGGCCCUGAUUGUGUGGAGUCUGUAUUUCUAAACUUAGCAGUUGAUAUUAUUUCAUCUCUUUUAAUUUAUCAUGUUAAUCUUUCAUUAGACAAUGGGGUUAUACCAGAAAUUUGGAAAUCAGUUUUCUUAUUUAUUUAUUACAUUAAAUCAGGGACAUCCAACUAUAUUAGAUCAUUACAAUCCAAUAACAAGGCCUCCUCGCCUAUGUCCCUUGUAGAAAGCUUUUUCAGUGAACCGUUCACAUGUUAUCAGUCUGCAAGAAGUCUAAGGUCAUACAAACAUAUCAGCACAACUAUUGUUUUGAAAGUCUUAAAACAAUGUCACGGUACCCUCUGCACUUCCCUGUCUGUUGAUUUAGAAGAGGCUCCCAACCCAGUGAAUCAGGAAAUAUUGCUGCAGAAAUUAAAUACUGUCAUUCAUGACAAUUAAAUGUUGCUCACUUUGGAGGAAUGUGAAUAUGUAUUUAACUUAGUCUAAAUUUAAAAUUUAUCAUCUGUGAGCUUUGUUUCAAUUUACCACCAAGUUGUUACCUCGGCUGAGCGCCCAAUUGUAAGAAGCAUAAGAUUCGUCCUAUAAUUUUAUCCAUUUCAUUUAAACUGUAUUUGACCAUAUUAAGGUAGUGUUAAACCUACUCAUAUCACAAACCACAUUUCCCAUCCUGCACUGCGGUCCACAAACAUGGCUGCCAUGUUUGUGGACCGCAGUGCAGGAUGGGAAAUGUGGUUUGUGACAUGGGUAGAUUUAACACUACCUUAAUAUGGUCAAAAACAGUUUAAAUGAAAUGGAUACAUUUAUAGGACGAAUCUUAUGCCUUUCACAAUUGGGCGCUC
Ictalurus punctatus (channel catfish) is the source of this 1102-nucleotide long non-coding RNA. NCBI's taxonomy places the organism in Eukaryota, Metazoa, Chordata, Actinopteri, Siluriformes, Ictaluridae. The record is from Ensembl.